Molecule: ribosomal RNA, 484 nt
Filed under: Polynucleobacter sp.
Lineage: Bacteria; Pseudomonadati; Pseudomonadota; Betaproteobacteria; Burkholderiales; Burkholderiaceae
Description: bacterial SSU rRNA
Rfam family: Bacterial small subunit ribosomal RNA
Source: RNAcentral
AUGCAACGCGAAAAACCUUACCUACCCUUGACAUGUCACUAACGAAGUAGAGAUACAUUAGGUGCCCGUAAGGGAAAGUGAACACAGGUGCUGCAUGGCUGUCGUCAGCUCGUGUCGUGAGAUGUUGGGUUAAGUCCCGCAACGAGCGCAACCCUUGUCUUUAGUUGCUACGCAAGAGCACUCUAAAGAGACUGCCGGUGACAAACCGGAGGAAGGUGGGGAUGACGUCAAGUCCUCAUGGCCCUUAUGGGUAGGGCUUCACACGUCAUACAAUGGUGCGUACAGAGGGUUGCCAACCCGCGAGGGGGAGCUAAUCUCUUAAAACGCAUCGUAGUCCGGAUCGUAGUCUGCAACUCGACUACGUGAAGCUGGAAUCGCUAGUAAUCGCGGAUCAGCAUGUCGCGGUGAAUACGUUCCCGGGUCUUGUACACACCGCCCGUCACACCAUGGGAGUGGGUUUUGCCAGAAGCAGUUAGCCUAACCG